GAACGCUGGCGGCGUGCCUAACACAUGCAAGUCGAGCGGUAACAGGUGUAGCAAUACAUGCUGACGAGCGGCGAACGGGUGAGUAAUGCUUCGGAAUCUGCCCAAUGGUGGGGAAUAACCAGCCGAAAGGUUGGCUAAUACCGCAUAAGUCCUACGGGGGAAAGCAGGGGAUCGCAAGACCUUGCGCCGAUGGAUGAGCCGAAGUCGGAUUAGCUAGUUGGUAGGGUAACGGCCUACCAAGGCGACGAUCCGUAGCUGGUCUGAGAGGACGACCAGCCACACUGGGACUGAGACACGGCCCAGACUCCUACGGGAGGCAGCAGUGGGGAAUAUUGGACAAUGAGGGAAACCCUGAUCCAGCGACGCCGCGUGUGUGAAGAAGGCCUGCGGGUUGUAAAGCACUUUUAGUGGGGAUGAAAAGCUCAGGGCUAACACCUCUGGGUCUUGACCUAACCCAAAGAAAAAGCACCGGCUAACUCUGUGCCAGCAGCCGCGGUAAUACAGAGGGUGCGAGCGNUUAUCGGAAUUACUGGGCGUAAAGCGUGCGUAGACGGUUAUGUAAGUCGGGUGUGAAAGCCCCGGGCUC
Molecule: ribosomal RNA, 586 nt
Filed under: uncultured bacterium
Lineage: Bacteria
Description: bacterial SSU rRNA
Rfam family: Bacterial small subunit ribosomal RNA
Source: RNAcentral